CGCAGGCCGAGAGUUGCAGACUCCGAGGCUCGGGCCUCGCUGGCUGGUGGGAGGAGCGGGGUAGGGGCGAGGCUGGCGGAGAUCCAGGGGAUCGCCCGGCUGGGCCCUGCGCACCCCGGAUCACCAGCUUCGGGCGCUGGUUCCCACCGAGGCUGUUCAGGCGCCGCCCGCCCACGUCCCUGCGACAGGAGGCGGCUGCUGGGCGCGCUCCAGGCCCCGACUCGCGGAGACGCCUGGCCCGGGCCUUGUCCGCAGUGGGCGGCUGGAGCGGGCGCGGCGUCUCAGAGCCUCCGGGACCCUGGGGAAGGGCGCGCCUCGGAGUUGCCCGAGGCCGGGCCCGGCGUCCCCGCGCCCCGCCCCUCCCUGGCCCCUCCCCGGCCCCGCGCGCCGCCCUCCACCCCGGCUCCCUCGCGUUCUUUCUGCCUCCGGCAGAGCCUGCGCGUCUCCCCCGGAUGGCCACGGACCCGCAGCCUCAGCGAGGACGCUGCCUGCGUCUCGGCUGCUUGGACCUUCCCGCGUGGCUCCCAGGGAAGCCCAGCGGCUGGAGGGCGCAGGAUCCGCCUGACGCACCCCUCCCCACGGGAAGAACGGGGCGAAGGUCCAGGAGGGACGUAAGCCGGACUCCCCCAGCAUGCUGAUCCGAACCCGCGCGGGGAAAUCUGCGCAAACCAAAGGAGGGAAGACUCAGGCACCCCCCAACCCCCCAGGGAGGCCCAGGUGAAAAACAGACGCCGGCCUCUCCUCUCCCCCUGCGGAUGAUCCCAGCACUCCCACCCCCGCCUCUGCAGCCCCCGAGUUCGGCUCCCUCAGCCCCACAUCCUCUCUGGUCACCUAAGUGCCCAGCUGCUCAGGGAGCAUGUCGCGAAGGAUAGGGAAGGACAGGGGUCUGCUUCCCCAGCCGCCCUCCAGACCCCCAGGGCUGGUAGGGGCCGGCAACCCUGUGCCCCAGCCUGGCCCGUGAGGGGGGCACACCAGGGUAACACAGUAGCAGGAGGGGGAGAGAGCCUGGCUAGCGCAUCCACCUCAUCGUCACCUUCCUUGUGUCCAGGGUGCAGAUGCCAGGGCUCUGAGGCCCUGAGAUCCUGUCUGGGGCGAGGGGACUUCCUCCAUCCACUGCAUCCACUACCUGGCUGAGUCAAGAGCCCACUGAGCAAGCAGACCCUCCACAGCGAGGCACUCAGGCCUCACAUGGUCACGGUGCUUAUGCUCUGGGCCAGCCUGGAUUGCUCAUCCCUGUCUGAGAUUGGGAUUCACAGGGUCUUCCAGUUCCCCCUCUUUCUUUCUCUACUGAUUGAGAAACACAGAGUCCUUUCACCGCUCCAGGACCUGGCCACUGCGUGUUCCCUGCAGCCUUGAACUCAGGCUGGGGCCUGGCACAUUCCCUGAAAAAGCUGUUUAAGUUGCUUAAAAACACAGUCAACCCUAUUGCUGAACACAUAGAAACUGGCCCUGCCCUGAGCCCAAUCCCUUAAACUCUCAUCUAAGCUCCAUGGCCAGACUCCCUUGCUGCAAACAUGCUUGGGUAAAGCAUCCCUUGCCUCACCGUUGAUCCCAAGAAUGCUGAAGCUCCAUAUGAAAAUGUCUGGAAGAAAUGCUCUGGACUGAUCGUUUACCACUUCUUUCCUUGGAAUCCCAACCAAUUCCAUUUGGGGACAGUUUGGGGAAGUCUUUUGAGGCAACUCCCUUGCUGCCACUUUUGGGGCAACUCUAAACUCCUCAUAUUUGGUCAGAUAGAACAGUUCCAAGCUGUAAAUGUUACCAGGAAAAAAAUCUCAACUACAAAGCCACUUUCAAGGUGAUGCUGCAUUUCCAACAGCACUCUCCGAAUCCGAGUGGAUGGCCCAGAGCAAUGGUGCUUCCAACCGACAGAGCCCCUCCACAGGUCCCUUACCAUCUGCAGACACCCAUAUCUCAAGGAACAGCUGCAUUGCUGGAGUUGGGGGUGCUGUACCGUGGAGGAGAGAGGGGAGCUGUCAAUCAACCACCAUUGCAGGCUCUGGGGCGCCCGACUGGCGACAGAGAUGGUUGCUCUGGCUAGAACUUCUGUAGUGCAGCUUCGAGAAAGCCUCUGAGGUCCUGGGUCUGGGGCAUGGUAGAGAGAUCCAUGUAACAGGAAGAAAGAAAGUGGCAGCCCAGGUCCAUGCCUGAGUCUCCUGGUGAGACACGGACUCCUUCCAGCAGACUGGAGUGACCAGAAAUGCCCCGAAAGAGGGUGGCCCUGCCUCUGCGUCCCGUCUGCAGUCUGCACCUCGCUGAGCUUACUGUGUCUCUCCCACCUUGUCUCAGCCUUUGCUUCCAGUCUGCAGUCUGCACCUGGCUGAGCUUUACUGUCCCUGUCUCCCCCACCUUGUCUCAGGCGCUGCACAAUAGAGGUUCAGAAGCUGAUUGGACCUGAGCUGGUACUGGGACCGGGAACAAAAAGAGACAGAAACUUGUAAACAUGACCCAGCAAUAAGGGGUUGGGGAAGGUGAGCAGGGAUUCCAGCUUCUGUGAACGGGGUCCACCAGAGUAAAUGGAUUGUGUCCAAGAUGAGUUAGAAUGUCUUGAGAUGAACCUAUCCUGGAUGCUUUGGAAAUAGCUACGGAGAGCAACAGAAGUUACAAGUGAGUCUGGUUAUGACACAGGACUCUUUCCGGGCCACUUUGCCAGCCGGAGACCUCCAUGCUGGCAACGCCCCUGCCCAAGGCCUCACGGCUCCAGGCUGUUAGAGGUACCUGCCCACUCGACCCGGCAGGCUGCACCUGGCUUGUGCUUCAGGCUGGAUCCCACACUCGCCAUAGGAUCUGCACUCGGCCUGCGGCUGGGCCGGGCGUGCCACCACCUGCUUCCACCUCGGGCGCCAACGUCUGGAUGAGAGGAACGUGGUGGCUCCUGAAAAACCUGGAGACACCAGAAACCCUGGCUCCCCAUAGGAGGUGUUACUCCUCCUGCCCGUGCUGUGGGUAUGAAGGUUCGUGCUGCACAUCCCGGUUUCCAGCACAGGACAAAGACUCAGAGAGGCACCUGCUGGGAGUCUCAGGCGAUGGGACCCAGUGGCAGGCAUGUGAGCAGCUGCCCCAGGUGAAAGAGAUCUUGGCACAGCUCUUGGUUUCCCAGGCUGGCCCUGACCUUCGUGCUUUCCCACCCAUGGCCCAGACAUCUGAGCUCCAUGUUGGGGAUGCUCAGGGACAACCCUUCAGCCUCCCCCACCAUGUCCCGGCUACUGCCCAGGGUUCUUGUUCUCUGGAGGGUGGAUCCAGCCCUCCCCAUCUUGGUGCCCUACCAGGGCCAGGCUUCCCAUGGCUCUUUCUGCAGCCCCUGGCAUGGACUGUGGGGUGCACAGCCCAGGGAGCACUGGGCCUUGGAGGGGCCAGGUGUGCAUGUUCCCACCCCCACCAUGGAGUUUGACACACCAGUGGGCAGGUAACUCAAUCCCCCCUCACCUUCUCUUCAUCUGUUAGGGGUGACAAGGUAUUCCCAGUGGGGCCGAGAGGAUGCAGCACCCCCAUUGGCUCCCCCUCUGGCCACACCCUUCUCUCCUGCCCACCUUCUGAGCUGGCAGGGCUUCCUUCCUGGCUUCUGCUGGGCAGUGUAUUAGGGUCCUCUAGAAAGACAAAACCAAUAAUAGAGUUUAGGAGAGGGGAUUUUUAUUUAUUUUUUUGAGAGAGAGUCUUGCCCUGUCACCCAGGCUGGAGUGCAGUGGCUCAAUCUCAGCUCACUGCAACUUCCACCUCCCAGGUUAAAGCGAUUCUCCUGCCUCAGACUUCCGAGUAGCUGGGAUUACAGGCAGCCACCACCAUGCCCAGCUAAUUUUUGUAUUUUUAGUAGAGACAGGGUUUCACCAUGUUGGCCAGGCUGGUCUCAAACUCCUGACCUCAGGUGAUCCGCCUACCUCUGCCUCCCAAAAUGCUGGGAUUAUAGGCAGGGGCCACAGUGCCCGGCCAGGAGAGGGGUUUUAUUAGGGGAACUGGCCCACACUUACAGAGGCUGAGAAGUCCUCCCAUAGGCUGUCUGCAACCUGGAGACCCAGAGAAGCCAUUAGUGAGGCUCAGUCCAGGUAAGAAGGCAGUUGAACCAAGGAAGCCAGUGGUGUAACUCUCAUUCUGAGGCUGACUGGCCAGGAGCCCUGGGAGGCCUCUGUGGCAAGCCUGAGUCCAAAGGCCAAAGAACCUAGAGUCCUGAUGUCCAAGGGCAGGAGAUGGGUGUCUCCCUCCAGAAAAGAGAAUAUGCUUCUCUUCUCCCUUUGUGUUCCAUCUGGGCCCCCAGCCAGGUGGAUGUGCCUGCCCACACAGGGCAGAUCUUCACUGAGUCCACUGAAAACAUCCUCACACUCAGAAACAAUGCUUAGCCAGCUGCCAGAUGCAGUGUGUGUGUCUUAGUCCCAGCUACUCAGGAGGCUAAGGUGAGAGAAACGAGCCUGGGAGCUCGAGGCUGCGGUGAGCCACAACUGUGCCACUGCACUCCAAGCUGGCUGGCAGAGAGAUCCUGUCUCAAAAA
Long non-coding RNA from Rhinopithecus roxellana (golden snub-nosed monkey), 4477 nucleotides. RefSeq lists it as uncharacterized. Lineage: Eukaryota; Metazoa; Chordata; Mammalia; Primates; Cercopithecidae. The transcript has 3 exons. The record is from RefSeq and is a predicted model, not a curated record.